Long non-coding RNA from Triticum aestivum (bread wheat), 2215 nucleotides. RefSeq lists it as uncharacterized. Lineage: Eukaryota; Viridiplantae; Streptophyta; Magnoliopsida; Poales; Poaceae. The transcript is spliced from 3 exons. The record is from RefSeq and is a predicted model, not a curated record.
AAAAAAAGAGUUUUUUUCUUUGUCACUAACAACUUCACAUGUAUCUCUUGCCUGAUGCCCCGAUCCCCUUUCUCCUUUCCUUGGUCUCUCCGUUCACUCCAAAAUUAUUAACACUAAAUCAGGCCCGGCUUGUACCGCUGGCAUCCCCGCAGCUCGACUCGCUGGUGCGGCAACAUGGUGACCAUCUUUGACGGCUGGUUUGGCUCGUACGCCUCCUCUGUGUCCUUGGUUUGUAAGCGGCGAUGGAUCAUGGAUGUAUAGCAUGGCCCGAGUAGCAGCUCCAAUGGAGGAGGCGAGAUCGUUGAUCUGCACGGUGUCGUUGCUGUCAGCAUCCUUGUAGGGGAUCCUUCGUCGUGGAUCUCGACUCGCACAGCUAGCGUGGAUUCAGCUUUUGUAUGAGGUAUUUGGUCCAUUGUCUUCCUCAAUCGUGCAAGCCAGACUUCGUCGUUGUUCCCACUCGAGGAAUCCCGACAUCUCGUCGUCUUCCUCCACAGCGGCAACAUGCUUCGACCUACAGUAACAUGGUCUUAACUCUAAAAGCUGCUGACCUGAAGACAUCAUUUAACCAAGCUGUGUUGAUCUAUCCGUUUGGUGCCACCACUACACUGGGAAAGAUCACCUGGCCAUGGGCAGCAUUACUUUCAAUUUUAAAUUGUAUUGCUUAAGUUGCUUCCCUUGCCCACUUUAUAUAAAAUUGGAACAAAAUGCAGUCACAUUCUGUUUUCGGCUAGUGAGCGCACACUUGUACAUGUAAACUAAUACAUUAAGAAUUCAUCUAUCCAAUUCCUGGUAUAUACAUCCUGUAACAAAGCUGAAUUAGUAAUCAACUGAUACAAAGGCAGCAAGAUUAACUUGGGGGCAUGCACGCUAUGGAUUUCAAAGGCUGAUUAACUUGGGGGCAUGCACACUGGAUUUCAGAGGCUUAUAUCAAGCCUUCCCUGUUUCUUUAUUUGUCACAGGUGUUGGCAAUGUGGUUCAGAGGCUUAUAUCAAGCCUUCUCUCUUUCUUUAUUUGUCACAGGUGUUGGCAAUGUGGUUCAGAGGCUUAUAUCAAGCCUUCUCUCUUUCUUUAUUUAUCAUAGGUGCUAGCCAUGCAUGUACUGAUCAAGAGAUGCUCCUUAAAGUUAGCUUUGCUAAGCUACGUGUGCGGCGGCAUCAUAGACCAAGCUAGCCCUAACAGGUCCAUGACUCCAUGUACGUGGUGUUUCAGGCUAGUCGUGCAUGUACAAAUCCAAACAAAUCCAACAUGUACAUAUCAAGCCACCUAAAGAAGCUAGCUUUGCCAAGCUACGCUCGCGGUGGCUAUCUACAACCAAUGUGAAAUUUAUCUUCAAUCUAAAUAAUUUUCUAUGAAACAGAGUUCCUCAAUCAGUCUUGGUACAUCUUGAUUAAAGCAAUGGGGAUAGUGAAUAUCAACUAUUCUACACCCUAGGGUUUGGGAAGGGGCGGCAUACCUUAAGAGGAUAACUGGAAGAAUGGAGUCGGUGGAGUACCAGGUCAUCUUCUUCGGUCUCUGGUGAUAGCCGAUGUCGCCGGCGCUCGAGGCCUCGGUGAUAAUCGUGGCUGCCGCCAGGUCACCUCCCUUUUUUCACUUUUGAUGCUUGCCUCUUUUUCACGUAUAUGAGGAUGCAACGGAUCGAGAGGUUUUCUUUUGAUGUGCAUGAGCGAAGGGAUUUGAGAGGGUUUUUUCACGUGGGCAUUGGUGGGUAAUUUUAAACCUUUUCAAUCCAUUGGUGGGUAAUUUUAAAUCUUUUCAAUCCAUUGGUUGUGCUCGCGUAAUGACUUAAAUUGAUGGUCCGAUGUUUCUAAUUAUUAUGGGUUUUUCUAGCAUAAUUCUCUUUUUCCUGGUUACCCCGUAAAGCACUUUUUAUAUAUAAAUAGAUGCUUGCAGAUUCCAGCUUAGUCCAAUGCACGUGCACUAUUAUUAUUAUCGACACCGUUUGGUCGUGAGAGUGAAAGGUAAUAAUGAUGAUAUAUGAUGGACUGAUUGAGAUGAGAGAAGGUGGUAUGAACUUGACCUAUCUUGUUUUUGUAAAUAUGAUUAGUCCACUAUUCCUGAUUCGUCCUAUUAUGGAUGAAACAUGUUUGCAAUGACAACUAGAGAUUAUAGUUCUCAUGCCAUGCUUAAUUAGCUAGCAGUUUAUAAUGGUUUACCUUGCAUGCCAACAUGCUAUUAAAACGGUUGUGAUGUGGUAUGAUAGGGUGGUAUCCUCCUU